UGAAACAGGGGGGUGUAUCUUCGCCCGUUGCAGCUACCCUGCGAAACCCUGCCUUACCCGGUAUUUCGGGGCACCCUCAUCCAGUCACCCUAGUCAACUUCUCAGUGGAUCGCUCAGGUUCCGCACCCACCACCAGCAUCCAACGGAAUCUGCCGGGUCGACAGCGGCCCAACUCCAUUCCUGGACGGCUCGCAGGUUAACUUUAUCCCAGG
This 212-nucleotide long non-coding RNA is filed under the name Volvox carteri. RNAcentral describes it as "long non-coding RNA (VCAR_LNC003191)". The record is from RNAcentral. Lineage: Eukaryota; Viridiplantae; Chlorophyta; Chlorophyceae; Chlamydomonadales; Volvocaceae.